Tetranychus urticae (two-spotted spider mite) is the source of this 2457-nucleotide long non-coding RNA. RefSeq lists it as uncharacterized. NCBI's taxonomy places the organism in Eukaryota, Metazoa, Arthropoda, Arachnida, Trombidiformes, Tetranychidae. The record is from RefSeq and is a predicted model, not a curated record.
UCAACGAUCCGAUACUGAGAGAUAUGAGAUGCCUUUUUGGUUGCAAACUGGGACUUUGUUAAUUUACUGAAACAUGUAAUUGGUUUCACUUUUUUAAGAAAAAUAGAUUAAUCACAAAAAAUCUUAUAUACAUGACAUAAUUCAUGUUCCGUGAAAAUUCACACAAAAAAUACGAUGGGCUAAUAAAAUUCACAUUGUCAGUGAAACUUGGCUAUUUUAAGGGAAAUGAUCGUCUUGAAGCUGCAAUUUGCUCGUGAAAAUAGCUUAAAAGACGCAGAUUGAUUACAUCAGAACGUUGUUUUGCUUAUAGAUUAUGAUGAUUAGUUAAUAUUGUUAUUAUAUAAAAUUAUGUGCUCUAAUUAUUAGUUUGUUUUUCGAAAUUCGGAUUCAUCUAUGCCCAAAAAUUGAUACAUUUGGAUCAGGAUUAGCGAAAUUACGAUUUAAAAUGCUAACACUUGUUAUCUAAUGUACAUUUUACAGAUUUCUAUUUUUAGAAGCUGAGAUUCCUGUCCUGAACAAUUGGUUUAAAUAUCACAGAUGAAUGGAUCGAAUGGUGUAGAGUCAUUUUUUAAAGCAUUGGGAUAGCCAAUCCAUUAUCUAGCAGUGAAAGGAUUAAGCAGGAUCUGUGCAAAUCUUGGUCUAUGGCCAGUUAUAUACCGGGGUAAAUACCUGUAAAUAAAGCAAUGCAGCUUAAAACACCUGUAAAUCGUCUUUGGCUCAAAUACAAAUCACAAAUCAAACAUGGGAGCCCACAAAGAUUCAUAUCUUCCUAAUUGCAUAAAUUGAAUUAUAAUUGAACCACAAAGGACGUUGACUUAAAAUACUUACAACGAUAAAAGGGUAAAUUGAAAGGUUGACAUUUUCAUUUUUUUUUGUGUAAUCCAUCCAUUGAAAUAUAAUAUUUGUGUAUUACAAUUACAAAUACAAAAGGCUUGAAUGUAAAGGUGUAAAUACAAGGAUACAAUAUACGGAUACAAACAAGAGGGACUCAAAGGAGUAAUGAAAACGGACUACAAAAAAAGCAGUGUUUGAUGAUGGGUUGAUGAAGCAUCAAUGAUCGGCUUACCACGGGCGGGUUACCACUUGCUUGAUUGAGUAUACGUUUUUCAAGUUAAAUGAAAGAUGAAAACAAAAACAACAAUCCCAGCUAAAUCUAUCAAGCGUACAAGGAAAGCCGAGUAAAGAGGAGGAGGAGGUGGUGAUGGUAACUCCUUUUUAAGAAAUAGAUGAAAUAAAUUCUUUGGUCAGUCGGUCAGUUUUCUAGCAGAUAAAAAGAUCAAGAUGAAGACGACGAAAAAUAAGAAGAAGAAGAAGGAAUUGAAAUAAACAGGUUGACAUCCACAGACACACACAGACAUAUACAUAGAUAUAUAUAUUUAUAAACAACAAAGGUAUUUGAAAGAUGAAGAGAGGAGGUUAAAGAGGAGGAGGUGGGUGGAGAUGGAGGAAAGGAAGGUGAGAGUGAAUCAUUGGAGAUAAAGGUCACAAAUGUCACUAAUAACAGGGGCUGAAAAGCUCCUUAUGGUCACUUUUUCCUCUUCCUCUUCUUGGCUACUUUAUAUCCCUUACCAUCUUCGUCUUGUGAAAUAAGCAAAGGAAAAAAGGCAAAAAGGACAAAGUCAAAGGGCGAUUCAGAUCGUCAAUUGUCAAUGGAUGUGUAUAAGAUGGACAAUUAUUUCCCAUUGGAUCCAUGCAUGUACAUAUAUAUUCUGGAUGUUAUUUAAAACUCUCACUCUGGGUGACCUUUAAAGACUACUCUUUAAUCAUCUCUUACCUUCUCCUUUGCCCUCAACAUUUGACCCUUUUUUUUGUCGGUUGCUCUUCUUUUAGACCUAAAAAUGUGUUGUUCAAGCUUUACCUUUGGCGUUCCAAUUGAAUGGGCAAAAAUGCUGUUUUGGCUUUACUUUGUUCGUACCAUCAACUUGAGAUAAUGGUGAUGAUGAUGAUGAUGAAAAGGACUGAGAAACGGUCAAAGAGGCUACAAUUUAAAUAUAUUUAUGUGUGUAUAUAUAAUACAUUUCAUCUUUGUCUUGCCGUUUCUCAUCUUCACUGGUUUGACAAAAAGAAGGGUGUUUUUGCGUUUGCGGUGGGAGGAGAAGCCAAUGAUUAAAUUGAAUGAAUGGUUCCAAGGAGAGGGAGGGAAAGUUAUUGAUAAAAGAUUACCAUGAUGACUUGUGAGAUUAUUUUAUUCAAUUGUGGACAGUUUAUCAUCAUAUGGGAAGCGAAGAGAGUAUGAAGGAGGAGAUGAGAUGAUGAUAUGUUGAUGAUGGCAAGAUGAAAGUUACUCUGGGAAUUGAGAGAUGAGAAGACGAGCAAAAAUGUAAAUUAUUAUUAUUAUCAUCAAAUAGCAUUGUAACAGUUGAUUUGGACAAUCAAUUAAAUAGAUUCAAGGCUUACAAUUGAUUAGUGAGGGACAAGUUUUGCUCCUUUUUUUCACUUGGCUUUGUGUUAUUACAA